Molecule: non-coding RNA, 69 nt
Organism: Loxodonta africana (African savanna elephant)
Lineage: Eukaryota; Metazoa; Chordata; Mammalia; Proboscidea; Elephantidae
Source: Rfam
GCCCUAGUGGCACAGUGGUUUAGUGCUCGGCUGCUAACCAAAAGGUUGGUGGUUCAAAUCCACCAGGCG